RNAcentral lists this ribosomal RNA (514 nucleotides) under uncultured bacterium. RNAcentral describes it as "bacterial SSU rRNA". It matches the Rfam family "Bacterial small subunit ribosomal RNA", at positions 31 to 518 of the family's 1533-position model. The record is from RNAcentral.
GAACGCUGGCGGCGUGCCUAAUACAUGCAAGUCGAACGGUCUUUCUAUGGAAGCUUGCUUCCACUGAGAAGAUAGUGGCGAACGGGUGAGUAACACGUGGGUAACCUGCCCAUAAGAGGGGGAUAACAUCCGGAAACGGGUGCUAAUACCGCAUAGUUUUCUUGAUCGCAUGAUUGAGAAAGGAAAGACGGCCUUUGUGCUGUCGCUUAUGGAUGGACCCGCGGCGUAUUAGUUAGUUGGUGAGGUAAUGGCUCACCAAGACGAUGAUACGUAGCCGACCUGAGAGGGUGAUCGGCCACAUUGGGACUGAGACACGGCCCAAACUCCUACGGGAGGCAGCAGUAGGGAAUCUUCCGCAAUGGACGAAAGUCUGACGGAGCAACGCCGCGUGAGUGAAGAAGGUUUUCGGAAUCGUAAAACUCUGUUGUCAGAGAAGAACAAGUUGGAGAGUAACUGCUCCAGCCUUGACGGUAUCUGACCAGAAAGCCACGGCUAACUACGUGCCAGCAGCUGC